Molecule: non-coding RNA, 155 nt
Organism: Brenneria sp. EniD312
Lineage: Bacteria; Pseudomonadati; Pseudomonadota; Gammaproteobacteria; Enterobacterales; Pectobacteriaceae
Source: Rfam
CUUUAACAAUCCGGAACAAGCUGAAAAUUGAAACGACGCAGCUGAACAUUACCCGCGAGGGUAAUGAUUUUGUUGUGUCAGAGUCUCUCAAAUAAUCGCAGCACGACGUGUUCUCUGUAAGAGGCCCUAGGCCGUACAGAAAGAAACACCUUCGG